GACGACGCUGGCGGCGUGCCUAACACAUGCAAGUCGAGCGGAGUCAGCAAGAGGAAGUUUCGGAUGGAAUCUUAUUGAUUUAGCGGCGGACGGGUGAGUAACGCGUGAGCGACCAACCUUGCACAGGGGGAUAACGGACCGAAAGGUUCACUAAUACCGCAUGAGACCACGGUGUUGCAUGACACAGAGGUCAAAGGAGCAAUCCGGUGCAAGACGGGCUCGCGUCCGAUUAGGUAGUUGGAGGGGUAACGGCCCACCAAGCCUAUGAUCGGUAGCCGACCUGAGAGGGUGAUCGGCCACAUUGGAACUGAGAUACGGUCCAAACUCCUACGGGAGGCAGCAGUGGGGAAUAUUGGGCAAUGGGGGAAACCCUGACCCAGCAACGCCGCGUGAAGGAAGAAGGUUUUCGGAUUGUAAACUUCUGUCCUUGGUGAAGAGAAGAAGACGGUAGCCAAGGAGGAAGCCCCGGCUAACUACGUG
RNAcentral lists this ribosomal RNA (480 nucleotides) under uncultured bacterium. RNAcentral's name for it is "bacterial SSU rRNA". It matches the Rfam family "Bacterial small subunit ribosomal RNA", at positions 33 to 507 of the family's 1533-position model. The record is from RNAcentral.